UACGAAGGGGGCUAGCGUUGCUCGGAAUCACUGGGCGUAAAGGGUGCGUAGGCGGGUCUUUAAGUCAGGGGUGAAAUCCUGGAGCUCAACUCCAGAACUGCCUUUGAUACUGAGGAUCUUGAGUUCGGGAGAGGUGAGUGGAACUGCGAGUGUAGAGGUGAAAUUCGUAGAUAUUCGCAAGAACACCAGUGGCGAAGGCGGCUCACUGGCCCGAUACUGACGCUGAGGCACAAAGCGUGGGGAGCAAACAGG
This 252-nucleotide ribosomal RNA is filed under the name uncultured bacterium. Its description in RNAcentral is "partial 16S ribosomal RNA". It matches the Rfam family "Bacterial small subunit ribosomal RNA", at positions 524 to 776 of the family's 1533-position model. The record is from RNAcentral.